CCCAGGCAGAGGGAAACAAGAGCUAGACUACCUGCUCGUGAUCCCAGGAGGCUAAUGGAACAGUGAUGUAUCGCGGUUCCUGCCUCGUGAAUUUGGAAGCAGGAUUCUGCUCCUAGGCUCUUGAUGAAGAAAUAUUUAACAUCAGAGUAAGUGUUCUAGAGAUUAAUGGCUGCUGUUUGGCAAGGUCCAUAGACGUCCUUUCCUGCCAAUACAAAUAUAUACAUUGUUGAAGCACAAGACUAUAUCCACAGAUAGGAUUACAUGUUAACUGAAAAGAUUCAAGGAAGAGAAGAUGGGCCAUCAAUGAAAAAUGGUGGUUACAAUGAAGCAACUGAUUUCACAGCUAAGGCGAGAGCACUGCACUUCCUCCUCAUGCUUUCUGGUUGUUAAACUCCCACUAAGAAGCAUGAAAAAGAGCAAGAUGCACUUGAGGAGAUAAAGCAGACCUUUGAAGGGAAACCAAACAUCAGUUCAAGUUGUAACUUAGAGACCAGAAAAGAUAUUCCAAGUUUUUGUGAAG
This 520-nucleotide long non-coding RNA is filed under the name Homo sapiens (human). Its description in RNAcentral is "FILIP1 antisense RNA 1". The record is from RNAcentral. Lineage: Eukaryota; Metazoa; Chordata; Mammalia; Primates; Hominidae.